UGCAAUUAACAGAUUUAGGGGGAAAAUGAAACUAUAAUGUACCGUAACGUAACUAGGUUUCUCCGUCGCUCAGUUUCCUCCGCUACAGCCGCCGUCUCCGUCUCGGAGUUCUUCAUCGCCGGCGAGGCAAAAUUUUCUCUCGUUGUCUUCUCUGUUUUGCAUCAUUUUUCUUCUCUCUGUUUCCCAACCUAGCCUCUCUGUCGGGCAAAUCUGAGAUCCACUUCAGUUUUCAAAUCCAGACAUCAAUAGAUUUGCUGUUACAGUCGAGAUCAAGUGGCAAAGAUUCAUCUAAUGACCAGAAGGAGGAGGAAUUAACAGUGUCUCAACUAUGCUUGCGAGUAUGGAUCAGAAACUCCUCCUCCUGUUGAAGAGGAUGAAGAUUAGAUUAUGUUUCGGAUGAGGAACAAAAGCGGAAGAACCCGGGAAGAAAACAGAAGAUCGGGCAUUGAAACAGCUUGAUAGUUAGGUGACUGAUAAGAGGCAGAAGAAGAUAGAUAGAGAUGGCUGAAAGAUUUAGCUCUUCAGGCUGCAUUAUUGCCGCCAAGAAGGAAGCCUGAAGAAGCUGUCGUAUUCAUCUCUUUCUCAGAGCUGUGACUGUGAGGUUGACGAAGAGAUCAUACAUGGCUUCCCUUCAAAAUGCACGCCCUUUACACGAUCUUGAUUCGAUUGAUCCGUAAAAAAAACUAUUAUAUUUUCCCGAUUUUGCAGAAAAUAAACGAACUGUUAGAUUGUUA
Tarenaya hassleriana is the source of this 734-nucleotide long non-coding RNA. RefSeq lists it as uncharacterized. Lineage: Eukaryota; Viridiplantae; Streptophyta; Magnoliopsida; Brassicales; Cleomaceae. The record is from RefSeq and is a predicted model, not a curated record. The transcript is spliced from 2 exons.